RNAcentral lists this ribosomal RNA (478 nucleotides) under uncultured bacterium. Its description in RNAcentral is "partial 16S ribosomal RNA". It matches the Rfam family "Bacterial small subunit ribosomal RNA", at positions 28 to 523 of the family's 1533-position model. The record is from RNAcentral.
GACGAACGCUGGCGGCGUGCUUAACACAUGCAAGUCGAACGGUAAGGCCCUUCGGGGUACACGAGUGGCGAACGGGUGAGUAACACGUGGGUGAUCUGCCCUGCACUUCGGGAUAAGCCUGGGAAACUGGGUCUAAUACCGGAUAGGACCCUGGGAUGCAUGUCCUGGGGUGGAAAGCUUUUGCGGUGUGGGAUGGGCCCGCGGCCUAUCAGCUUGUUGGUGGGGUGAUGGCCUACCAAGGCGACGACGGGUAGCCGGCCUGAGAGGGUGACCGGCCAAACUGGGACUGAGAUACGGCCCAGCCUCCUACGGGAGUCAGCAGUGGGGAAUAUUGCACAAUGGGCGCAAGCCUGAUGCAGCGACGCCGCGUGAGGGAUGACGGCCUUCGGGUUGUAAACCUCUUUCAGCACCGACGAAGCGCAAGUGACGGUAGGUGCAGAAGAAGGACCGGCCAACUACGUGCCAGCCGCCGCCGUAA